AACGAACGCUGGCGGCAUGCCUAACACAUGCAAGUCGAACGAGACCUUCGGGUCUAUUGGCUCACGGGUGCGUAACGCGUGGGAACCUGCCCUUAGGUUCGGAAUAACUCCCCGAAAGGGGUGCUAAUACCGGAUAAUGUCUUCGGACCAAAGAUUUAUCGCCGUUGGAUGGGCCCGCGUUGUAUUAGAUAGUUGGUAGGGUAACAGCCUACCAAGGCGACGAUCCAUAGCUGGUCUGAGAGGAUGAUCAGCCACACUGGGACUGAGACACGGCCCAGACCCCUACGGGAGGCAGCAGUGGGGAAUAAUGGACGACGGGCGAAAGCAGGAGCCAGCAAUGCCGCGUGAGUGAUGAAGGACUUAGGGUUGUAAAGCUCUUUUACCCGGGAUGAUAAGGAGAGUACCGGGAGAAUAAGCUCCGGCUAACUCGGG
Molecule: ribosomal RNA, 432 nt
Filed under: uncultured bacterium
Lineage: Bacteria
Description: partial 16S ribosomal RNA
Rfam family: Bacterial small subunit ribosomal RNA
Source: RNAcentral